This 22-nucleotide microRNA is filed under the name Gadus morhua (Atlantic cod). RNAcentral describes it as "gmo-miR-30b-3p". Its record names the gene gmo-miR-30b-3p. The record is from miRBase by way of RNAcentral. Lineage: Eukaryota; Metazoa; Chordata; Actinopteri; Gadiformes; Gadidae.
CUGGGAGAGGGGUGUUUAUGCU